This 304-nucleotide unclassified non-coding RNA is filed under the name plant metagenome. Its description in RNAcentral is "partial contains 5.8S ribosomal RNA, internal transcribed spacer 2, and large subunit ribosomal RNA". The stretch from base 1 to 105 matches the Rfam family "5.8S ribosomal RNA", at positions 50 to 154 of the family's 154-position model. The record is from RNAcentral.
GAAAUGCGAUAAGUAGUGUGAAUUGCAGAAUUCAGUGAAUCAUCGAAUCUUUGAACGCACAUUGCGCCCCUUGGUAUUCCAUGGGGCAUGCCUGUUCGAGCGUCAUUUGUACCUUCAAGCUUUGCUUGGUGUUGGGUGUUUGUCUCGCCUCUGCGUGUAGACUCGCCUCAAAACAAUUGGCAGCCGGCGUAUUGAUUUCGGAGCGCAGUACAUCUCGCGCUUUGCACUCAUAACGACGACGUCCAAAAGUACAUUUUUACACUCUUGACCUCGGAUCAGGUAGGGAUACCCGCUGAUCUUAAGC